CAAGACAUUUACCAAUGAAACCUUGGUGUAUAUUUACCAACAAAACCACAAAGGGAUCCAGCAAACUGAGAUCAACAUCUACUGGCAGAUGGUGAUCAGCAAAAACUCAGGAAGAGUGGUACUGACAGGAUAAAUGCUUACCGAAAGUCACAUAAGUUGGCAUAUCUGCAGGGAAACAUCACGUUAGCCUUUGAGGAGAGAGGCUAUGCAGGGAUCCAAACAAGAAAAUGUGUAACAAUUUCAGAAGUGGCAAGAAGCAACAACAAGAUGGAGAAAGAUGUGAGGGAUGUGACAGUGAACGUGUGUCACCCCCAAGGCUCUUUAUAGCAAGACAACACUGGAGCUCCUCUUUUGCAUGAGACUGAUUUAUGCUGCAAGGUCCUGAAGGAAGACAGAUGUUUUUUGUUUUGUUUUGUUUUAGUGCAAUUCUCCAGUAAAAAUAAAACCCAGGCGGUGAAUAAAUUCAGUUUUCUCCUUUGGGAGAAGUUCACUUCUA
Molecule: long non-coding RNA, 496 nt
Organism: Rhinopithecus roxellana (golden snub-nosed monkey)
Lineage: Eukaryota; Metazoa; Chordata; Mammalia; Primates; Cercopithecidae
Exons: 3
Source: RefSeq, a predicted model, not a curated record